GCACAAGCGGAGGAACAUGUGGUUUUAAUUCGAUGAUACGCGAGGAACCUUACCUGGGCUUAAAUGGGGAGUGACAGCUGUCGAAAGAUGGUUUUCUUCGGACACUCUUCAAGGUGCUGCAUGGUUGUCGUCAGCUCGUGCCGUGAGGUGUCGGGUUAAGUCCCAUAACGAGCGCAACCCUUACCGUUAGUUACCAUCAGGUUAAGCUGGGGACUCUAGCGGGACUGCCACCGUAAGGUGAGAGGAAGGUGGGGAUGACGUCAAAUCAGCACGGCCCUUAUGUCCAGGGCUACACACGUGUUACAAUGGCCGGUACAAAGGGCAGCUACUUCGCGAGAAGAUGCUAAUCUCGAAAGCCGGUCUCAGUUCGGAUCGAAGUCUGCAACCCGACUUCGUGAAGCUGGAUUCGCUAGUAAUCGCGCAUCAGCCAUGGCGCGGUGAAUACGUUCCCGGGCCUU
RNAcentral lists this ribosomal RNA (458 nucleotides) under uncultured Sphingobacteriales bacterium. Its description in RNAcentral is "bacterial SSU rRNA". It matches the Rfam family "Bacterial small subunit ribosomal RNA", at positions 923 to 1382 of the family's 1533-position model. The record is from RNAcentral. Lineage: Bacteria; Pseudomonadati; Bacteroidota; Sphingobacteriia; Sphingobacteriales.